UUUGAAAGCUGGUACCUUCGGUAUCCGCGUUGUAACCUCGAGACACGUUUUCCGUGCGGCGCUAUGGACAAGUUCCUUGGAACAGGACAUCGUAGAGGGUGAAAAUCCCGUACUUGCCAUGGAUGUACCGUGCUUUGCGAUACGUGCUCUAAGAGUCGAGUUGUUUGGGAUUGCAGCUCAAAAUGGGUGGUAGACUCCAUCUAAAGCUAAAUAUCGGGGAGAGACCGAUAGCGAACAAGUACCGUGAGGGAAAGAUGAAAAGCACUUUGGAAAGAGAGUUAAAAGUACGUGAAAUUGUCGAAAGGGAAGCGCUUGAAGUCAGCCAUGCCGCUCAGGACUCAGCCUGGCUUUUGCUUGGUGUAUUUCCUGGGUAGCAAGUCAGCAUUGGUUUGGAUCGUCGGAGAAGCAUAGUCGGAAUGUGGCGCCCUCGGGCGUGUUAUAGCCUUCUAUUGGAUACGACGAUCUAGACCAAGGAACGCAGCGCGCCUUAUGGCGGGUCUUCGGACACCUUCGCGCUUAGGAUGCUGGCGUAAUGGCUUUAAGUGGCCCGUCUUGAAC
Molecule: ribosomal RNA, 558 nt
Filed under: Malassezia furfur
Lineage: Eukaryota; Fungi; Basidiomycota; Malasseziomycetes; Malasseziales; Malasseziaceae
Description: eukaryotic LSU rRNA
Rfam family: Eukaryotic large subunit ribosomal RNA
Source: RNAcentral